ACCAUUGGACUCCUUCCACGUGGCAUAGACGGCUUCGAUAAUAUUUUUGGUCCCCAUAGCAUCGUAUCGUCCCUCGGAGAUGGUGCACUCGACCUCGAGGAUACAAAGGUCCAUCGCAGGGCCCUUCCGGAGGACUCUGCUUCUCUUUCCGCAAUAGCUUGCCGCUUCGUCCAGCGGUCCAGGGAUUAAUAUCUCCACCCGGGAUCGGCAGGAAGGGAGAAUAAGAAAACGAGAGCGCGGUAGAUAGAAUCGAAGGGAGAAAAGAUGGAGAAGGCGAUCAACAGGCAGCGAGUCCUCCUCCAACACCUCCAACCUUCCACUCCUUCCCUCGAUGAAUCGUCUAUGCUAUCGGCUUCUAUUUGUGCUGCUGGCGAUAGUACAGCGUAUCAGAGGAGUUCUUGCUUUGGAGAUGAUGUCGUUGUUGUGGCUGCUUAUCGAACUCCAAUUUGCAAGUCCAAGCGAGGAGGAUUUAAAGAUACAUACCCUGAGGACCUGCUAGCAACUGUUCUUAAGGGAUUGUUGGACAAGACUAAACUGAAUCCAAAUGAAGUCGGUGAUAUUGUGGUUGGCACUGUCUUGGCACCAGGCUCUCAAAGAGCCACUGAGUGCAGGAUGGCAGCUUUCUAUGCUGGUUUCCCUGGUAUUUUCAUUUCCUUGUUUAAUAUGAAUUUAACACUUAUUGUUAUGCCCACUAACAUGAAAAUUAUUUUAUGGAAUCCUUCAGAAACUGUGCCUGUCAGAACUGUUAACCGGCAAUGCUCAUCUGGCCUUCAGGCAGUUGCUGAUGUUGCUGCUUCCAUAAAAGCUGGGUUUUAUGAUAUUGGCAUUGGUGCUGGGCUAGAAUCUAUGACUGCAAAUGUAGUUUCUUGGGAAGGGUCAAUAAAUCCAAAAGUAAAAACACUUCAGCAAGCUCAAGAUUGUCUCCUUCCCAUGGGAAUUACCUCUGAAAAUGUUGCUUGUCGUUAUGGUGUAACCCGACAGGAACAAGAUUGGGCUGCUGUUGAAUCUCAUAGGCGGGCAGCUGCUGCAACUGCAUCUGGUAAAUUUAGAGAUGAAAUCGUUCCUGUUGUCACCAAGAUUGUAGACCCAAAAACUGGAGACGAAAAACAAGUGACAAUAUCUAUGGAUGAUGGAAUUCGGCCAGAGACAUCAUUGUCAGGUCUUGCAAAGCUCAAACCCGUAUUUCAAAAAGAUGGGAGCACAACUGCUGGCAAUUCUAGUCAAGUGAGUGAUGGCGCUGCAGCAGUCCUCCUCAUGAGGAGAGAUGUAGCCAUCAAGAAGGGGUUCCCCAUAUUUGGUGUAUUCAGGAGUUUUGCAGCAGUGGGAGUAGAUCCUGCUGUUAUGGGCAUCGGUCCUGCUGUUGCAAUACCUGCUGCAGUAAAAUCUGCUGGUCUUCAGAUUGAAGAUAUCGACCUCUUUGAAUUAAAUGAGGCUUUUGCCUCUCAAUUUGUUUAUUGCUGCAAGAAGCUGGAGCUGGAUCCAGCAAAAGUAAAUGUAAAUGGAGGUGCAAUUGCUCUUGGGCAUCCGUUGGGUGCAACAGUACCUGAAGACUGGCUUCAAUGCUAAAAGACCAUUGUUCUCCCUACCAUGGACUGAUGUUUGCUAUUCUGGUUCUUUUACUCCAUAUUUGCCAUUUCGCAAGAAACUUUUUAAUGCAGCUACACAAGGAUUCUGAGUGGUCACUGGCCUGUGAAGAGUUGCUAGUGUGCCCGAUGUGUCAGUACUCUACUUAAUGAAAUGAAGCGCAGGGGCAAAGACUGCCGUUUUGGAGUGGUUACAAUGUGCAUAGGCUCCGGAAUGGGUGCUGCCGCAGUCUUUGAAAGAGGGGAUGGAGUUGACGCACUCUGCAAUGCUCGGAAGAUCCCGUCACAGAACCUGUUGUCCAAGGAUGCUCGGUAGAGCCGCCCAUCAAAAUUACAAAUUGGGUCAAGGUAAUACCAAUAAACUAAGGUUUAGAAUGUAUUUUGGAUCAUGGCUUGCCUUUUCUGAUGAGGUCAUCUCAAAUAACAAGAUUACACCUCAGAGUAGGUAGCACCCUUGUGCAAGUUGAAGUGCACUGUCCGUACAAUGGAAUCUAAGGGAACAUGAGCAUCCCAACUGAUGCGCUUCAACUAUUAUAGAACUCUAGAAUCCGGAUGACACCUGGAUUAAUCUUAAUAGACAUAAGUUCUUCUUUCUGAAUAUGCUUUUGCUAAUAUAUUGCAGACUUUUGUACUUGAA
Non-coding RNA from Elaeis guineensis (African oil palm), 2220 nucleotides. Lineage: Eukaryota; Viridiplantae; Streptophyta; Magnoliopsida; Arecales; Arecaceae. The record is from RefSeq and is a predicted model, not a curated record.